ACUCAAAUGAAUUGACGGGGGCCCGCACAAGCGGCGGAGCAUGUUGCUUAAUUCGACGCAACGCGAAGAACCUUACCAAGGCUUGACAUGCAGGGAAAAGCCGUAGAGAUACGGUGUCCGUAAGGGCCCUGCACAGGUGGUGCAUGGCUGUCGUCAGCUCGUGUCGUGAGAUGUUGGGUUAAGUCCCGCAACGAGCGCAACCCUCGUCCUAUGUUGCCAGCGGGUUAUGCCGGGGACUCAUAGGAGACUGCCGGGGUCAACUCGGAGGAAGGUGGGGAUGACGUCAAGUCAUCAUGCCCCUUACGCCUUGGGCUGCAAACAUGCUACAAUGGCCGGUACAAAGGGCUGCGAGACCGCAAGGUGGAGCGAAUCUCGAAAAGCCGGUCUCAGUUCGGAUUGGGGUCUGCAACUCGACCCCAUGAAGUCGGAGUCGCUAGUAAUCGCGGAUCAGCAACGCCGCGGUGAAUACGUUCCCGGGCCUUGCACACACCGCCCGU
RNAcentral lists this ribosomal RNA (497 nucleotides) under uncultured bacterium. Its description in RNAcentral is "partial 16S ribosomal RNA". It matches the Rfam family "Bacterial small subunit ribosomal RNA", at positions 899 to 1397 of the family's 1533-position model. The record is from RNAcentral.